RNAcentral lists this ribosomal RNA (311 nucleotides) under Limnonectes palavanensis (Palawan wart frog). RNAcentral's name for it is "partial 12S ribosomal RNA". It matches the Rfam family "Bacterial small subunit ribosomal RNA", at positions 858 to 1346 of the family's 1533-position model. Lineage: Eukaryota; Metazoa; Chordata; Amphibia; Anura; Dicroglossidae. The record is from RNAcentral.
CACCAAUCACGCCCGGGUACUACGAGCCCAGCUUAAAACCCAAAGGACUUGACGGUGUCCCAUCCAACUAGAGGAGCCCGUUCUAUAAUCGAUAAUCCCCGAUUUACCCAACCCCAUCUUGCCAAUCAGCCUGUAUACCUCCGUCGUAAGCUUACCAUAUGAAUGCACACAGUAAGCUAAUGAUUUAACAUCAGUACGUCAGGUCAAGGUGCAGCUUAUGAUGGGGAAAGCAAUUGGCUACAAUCUCUAAUAUAAAACACACGAAAUGCUUUAUGAAACACAGCAUGAAGGCGGAUUUAGUAGUAAAAAGA